Manis pentadactyla (Chinese pangolin) is the source of this 103-nucleotide small nuclear RNA. Lineage: Eukaryota; Metazoa; Chordata; Mammalia; Pholidota; Manidae. The record is from RefSeq and is a predicted model, not a curated record.
GUGUUCACUUCUGCAGUACAUGUACUAAAAUUUGUAAAUACAGAGAUUAGUGUGGCCCCUAUGCAAGGAUGAUACACAGAUUCAUGAAGUGUUCCGUAUGUUU